RNAcentral lists this ribosomal RNA (236 nucleotides) under uncultured bacterium. Its description in RNAcentral is "partial 16S ribosomal RNA". It matches the Rfam family "Bacterial small subunit ribosomal RNA", at positions 524 to 758 of the family's 1533-position model. The record is from RNAcentral.
UACGUAGGGUGCAAGCGUUAAUCGGAAUUACUGGGCGUAAAGCGUGCGCAGGCGGUUUUGUAAGUCUGUCGUGAAAUCCCCGGGCUCAACCUGGGAAUUGCGAUGGAGACUGCAAGGCUAGAAUCUGGCAGAGGGGGGUAGAAUUCCACGUGUAGCAGUGAAAUGCGUAGAGAUGUGGGAGGAACACCGAUGGCGAAGGCAGCCCCCUGGGUCAAGAUUGACGCUCAUGCACGAAA